UACGAACUGCGCGAACGUUAUUCGGAAUCACUGGGCUUACAGGGUGCGUAGGCGGCCAGUCAGGUCCGAUGUGAAAUCCCACGGCUCAACCGUGGAAUGGCAUUGGAAACCGAUUGGCUUGAGUGAGCUAGAGGUGCACGGAACUUCCGGUGGAGCGGUGAAAUGUGUUGAUAUCGGAAGGAACACCAGAGGCGAAAGCGGUGCACUGGGGCUUGUCUGACGCUGAGGCACGAAAGCCAGGGGAGCGAACGGG
This 253-nucleotide unclassified non-coding RNA is filed under the name uncultured Planctomycetales bacterium. RNAcentral describes it as "contains 16S-23S intergenic spacer region". It matches the Rfam family "Bacterial small subunit ribosomal RNA", at positions 524 to 776 of the family's 1533-position model. Lineage: Bacteria; Pseudomonadati; Planctomycetota; Planctomycetia; Planctomycetales. The record is from RNAcentral.